RNAcentral lists this ribosomal RNA (497 nucleotides) under uncultured bacterium. RNAcentral describes it as "partial 16S ribosomal RNA". It matches the Rfam family "Bacterial small subunit ribosomal RNA", at positions 28 to 507 of the family's 1533-position model. The record is from RNAcentral.
GAUGAACGCUGGCGGCGUGCCUAAUACAUGCAAGUCGAGCGAACGGACGAGAAGCUUGCUUUUCUGAUGUUAGCGGCGGACGGGUGAGUAACACGUGGAUAACCUACCUAUAAGACUGGGAUAACUUCGGGAAACCGGAGCUAAUACCGGAUAAUAUUUUGAACCGCAUGGUUCAAACGUGAAAGACGGUCUUGCUGUCACUUAUAGAUGGAUCCGCGCUGCAUUAGCUAGUUGGUAAGGUAACGGCUUACCAAGGCAACGAUGCAUAGCCGACCUGAGAGGGUGAUCGGCCACACUGGAACUGAGACACGGUCCAGACUCCUACGGGAGGCAGCAGUAGGGAAUCUUCCGCAAAGGGCGAAAGCCUGACGGAGCAACGCCGCGUGAGUGAUGAAGGUCUUCGGAUCGUAAAACUCUGUUAUUAGGGAAGAACAUAUGUGUAAGUAACUGUGCACAUCUUGACGGUACCUAAUCAGAAAGCCACGGCUAACUACGUG